GGCCCUAUCAUCUAGUGGUUAGGAUAUUGGGUUUUCAUCCCAAAAAUCAGGGUUCGACUCCCUGUAGGGCCG
RNAcentral lists this transfer RNA (72 nucleotides) under Candidatus Portnoybacteria bacterium CG23_combo_of_CG06-09_8_20_14_all_37_13. RNAcentral's name for it is "tRNA-Glu". It matches the Rfam family "tRNA". Rfam says of the family: Transfer RNA (tRNA) molecules are approximately 80 nucleotides in length. Lineage: Bacteria; Candidatus Portnoyibacteriota. The record is from RNAcentral.